AUGGCUCGCAAGCGCCGCCGCGCGGACCAGAGCACGCCGGCGCCACCUCCGCCCCUCCGGACUAAAUCGUCUCAGCGGAAACCCGUGGUCGUCUUCGCCCACGGCGCCGGCGCCCCCUCCUCCUCUGAUUGGAUGACCUGCUGGAAGGAGAUGGUGAAAGAAGCCCUGGAUGCCGUUGAAGCAGUGACAUUUGACUAUCCAUAUAUGUCGGGUGGUAAGCGGAGGCCUCCCCCAAAGGCGGACAAGCUCGUCGAUCAUCAUCUCAGUGUGGUGAAGAAUGCUGUAGCAGAGCAUCCUGGUCACCCGCUUGUUCUUAUGGGGAAGUCUAUGGGUUCGAGGGUCAGCUGCAUGGUAGCUAGCUCCGAUGAUAUCAGUGUUUCUGCAGUCAUUUGCUUGGGUUAUCCAUUGAAGGGAGCGAAAGGGGCACUGAGGGACGAGAUACUACUAAAGCUGAUGGUUCCAACAAUGUUUGUGCAGGGCAACAAAGAUGGCCUAUGCCCCUUGGACAAGCUUGAGUUAACUCGGAAGAAGAUGACCUGCAAGAAUGAACUGCAUGUUGUUGAUGGUGGUGACCACUCUUUCAAAGUCAGCCAAAAAUACCAAAAAUCUGCUGGAAUAAGUCAACAUGAUGUUGAAUUAGAAGCUGUUAAAGCAAUUGCACAGUUCGUCCAGAAGUCCAUCGCAGAAAGCUUAACCUAG
Molecule: ribosomal RNA, 699 nt
Filed under: Triticum aestivum (bread wheat)
Lineage: Eukaryota; Viridiplantae; Streptophyta; Magnoliopsida; Poales; Poaceae
Description: partial small subunit ribosomal RNA
Source: RNAcentral